Molecule: ribosomal RNA, 253 nt
Filed under: uncultured bacterium
Lineage: Bacteria
Description: partial 16S ribosomal RNA
Rfam family: Bacterial small subunit ribosomal RNA
Source: RNAcentral
UACGUAGGGUCCGAGCGUUGUCCGGAAUUACUGGGCGUAAAGGGCUCGUAGGUGGUUUGUCGCGUUGUUCGUGAAAACUCACAGCUCAACUGUGGGCGUGCGGGCGAUACGGGCAGACUGGAGUACUGCAGGGGAGACUGGAAUUCCUGGUGUAGCGGUGAAAUGCGCAGAUAUCAGGAGGAACACCGGUGGCGAAGGCGGGUCUCUGGGCCGAUACUGACGCUGAGGAGCGAAAGCGUGGGGAGCGAACAGG